This 1772-nucleotide long non-coding RNA is filed under the name Anas platyrhynchos platyrhynchos (common mallard). RNAcentral describes it as "lncRNA (ENSAPLG00000019033.1)". Lineage: Eukaryota; Metazoa; Chordata; Aves; Anseriformes; Anatidae. The record is from RNAcentral.
CCCUUUUCUGACUUUUUACCGUGUCCUUGUGUUAUUAUUGUUGUCUCUGCGAAGACUAAAUAGUAUCAGAACCCAGGAAACUCUCUUGCUUUCUAAUUCAUUGAGGUUUGUCUUUGCCCUAGCUCUUUUUGGUGAUGUCUUAGUGUAUUCUUGUGCUGCUGGCUUCCCCUCAUUAUGUUUCUCAGUCAGCAUGCUUCACAAUGGAUCCAGAAACCUUCUCAAGCCAAGCCUACUCAGUUCUUCUCACGGAAAGCACACAUACUCAUCUGCCCAGACUCCAGCCCAGUGUGCAGAGGAAAGGAUCAGGCAGCCUGAUUUUCUGCUGCUUAUUUGGACCUGUGGAUGCUUUUCUGAGGGAAGCUAAGAAACAAUCUUCAAAUUACUGUCAAAAAUCCAGAACCCAGACCAAAGGAUUCUGUGCCAGGUCCAACCACAUGGGAAAAGAAGAAGGAAAGGACAUCAAAAGCAGCUGUACUUCAUUCUCUUUUCAAGAAUAACAAGUUCUCUGUGUGUACACAGGAUUUAUUUUCACACCAAGGAAAAAAAGCUGCUUUACAAGGCUGGAAUCACAGUUUGAUUACCAGUAUAAUUCCUUCUUCCCUAAGCUGAUCUCACAGAAACUCUAUCAGCUCUUGUGCUGUUCUUCAUAUCUGUGUCAAGGCAGUGAAAAUCACAUGUAAUGAAUGUAAUGUAAUGCUCUGCACAGCCAUACCUUGUGGGUUGUUUCAACUGGAGCAAUUGAAGUAUAGGAGCAACUCCCAGCAUGACUGCAAUGAACUGAUCUGAUACUAUUUUCAUUUUCCCAUUUGACCUAUACUGAACCCAAUUCUCUUCUGCUUUGUGUUCGUGUUGUGGAUGCAUUCUAUCUGGAAAGGUGAGAUAUACAUACAAGGCUGUAGGCAAGUAUGAUAUAUGUUCCUCUAUAUUGGCACAAGGAGCUCUUUCUAUUUACGUGUCAGUAAGUAACAAGCAUAUUAACUUACCCAUGACAAGGCUGUCUUUCUACUCAUUUGUUUGUAAUCUAAAAUGUAUAUUAGAAGUUUGAGGACACAGUCAGCAUUUACUGAUCUAACCAGACUUUAUACGCAUCCUUUAUAAGGAUGAGUGCUUUAGAUUAAGUUCCCUAAUUGAAACCGCAUGGUUGUUUGGACAGAGAAAAUGAUAUUUCUGCAGCUGGUGCCUGGCAAACUUUGUUCUGAUGUAUUUUGCAGUCUCAGAACAGAGGAUGGGAAAAGAAACAGAAUGGAACUCAGGCAAGCGUAGAUAGCCUUUGCUUAAAGAUUUAUUUCUUAACUUCAACUCUUUGUUGUUUGAAAAAAUACCAGCAAACAACAAGCUAGCUAAACAUUAAGUGUUAAUUCCAAAUGGUCUUACAGUAGACAUAGUGUUUUCACAAAACUGAAUUUUGAUAUAUGCUCAUCCAGUACACAAAAGAAACUUCUGAAAAAAAUAGCUCAGCCCAUUAUGUACCCCUCAAGCUCUGUGGUGAGGCCAGAAAACACUCAAGUAGACAUAUUGUACAACAGUCCCGUACUUCCUGUUUUACAAUAUUUGCAAAGAUAUGUGUAUGUGUUUUUUUUUUUUUUAAUAUUUUUUGCCUGUAUUUGGAGUGCUGCCGACUGCUAACCAUGUGAGGAGUCACAUCCAACUGUUCUCUUACCUAGCUGCUGAAUGUGUAUUGCUCAGAGCACAGCACAUUUGUGCUACCUCCACAGCACAGUGUUAAAAUACCUAAAAAUAAAUCAUCAGGCACAAAGAUAUACUCUUGUCCC